UUGAUGGGAUCUCUUAUGGCCUGUAGGGGUGCCAUUGUGUUUGAUUUUUGAAGAUGAACCAUAAAAGGUUGACUAAACUCUGUUUUAAUCAUCGCAAUUAAAUUUGAAAUCAUGAACAUGUUUAGAUUAGAUCUAAAGUAUUUUUGUAAUUGAUUUAAUUGCUGAUUAUGCAUGAUUAACUAGAUCUGAAAUUUGGAUGCAUGUGAUGCAUGU
Molecule: long non-coding RNA, 213 nt
Filed under: Phoenix dactylifera (date palm)
Lineage: Eukaryota; Viridiplantae; Streptophyta; Magnoliopsida; Arecales; Arecaceae
Description: long non-coding RNA (PDAC_LNC003910)
Source: RNAcentral